UCACGAAGAACUCCGAUNGCGAAGGCAGCUUGCUGGACUGUAACUGACGCUGAGGCACGAAAGCGUGGGGAUCAAACAGGAUUAGAUACCCUGGUAGUCCACGCCGUAAACGAUGAAUGCUAGCUGUUAGCGAUAUACUGUUAGCGGCACAGAGAAAUCGUUAAGCAUUCCACCUGGGGAGUACGCCGGCAACGGUGAAACUCAAAGGAAUUGACGGGGGCCCGCACAAGCGGAGGAACAUGUGGUUUAAUUCGAUGAUACGCGAGGAACCUUACCUGGGCUUAAAUUGCAGUGGAAUAACGUGGAAACACGUUAGCCUUCGGGCCGCUGUGAAGGUGCUGCAUGGUUGUCGUCAGCUCGUGCCGUGAGGUGUCGGCUUAAGUGCCAUAACGAGCGCAACCCUCAUCGAUAGUUACUAACAGGUUAAGCUGAGGACUCUAUCGAGACUGCCGACGUAAGUCGUGAGGAAGGUGGGGAUGACGUCAAAUCAGCACGGCCCUUACGUCCAGGGCUACACACGUGUUACAAUGGGGGGUACAAAGGGCAGCUACCUGGCGACAGGAUGCUAAUCUCAAAAACCUCUCUCAGUUCGGAUUGGAGUCUGCAACCCGACUCCAUGAAGCUGGAUUCGCUAGUAAUCGCGCAUCAGCCACGGCGCGGUGAAUACGUUCCCGGGCCUUGUACACACCGCCCGUCAAGCCAUGGGAGCCGGGGGGACCUGAAGUAUGCAACCGUAAGGAGCGUCCUAGGGUAAAACUGGUGACUGGGGCU
RNAcentral lists this ribosomal RNA (771 nucleotides) under uncultured prokaryote. RNAcentral's name for it is "bacterial SSU rRNA". It matches the Rfam family "Bacterial small subunit ribosomal RNA", at positions 697 to 1482 of the family's 1533-position model. The record is from RNAcentral.